GACGAACGCUGGCGGCGUGCCUAAUACAUGCAAGUCGAGCGGACUUAUACGGGUAGCUUGCUAUUUGUAUAAGUUAGCGGCGGACGGGUGAGUAACACGUGGGUAAUCUGCCUCGUAGACUGGGAUAACAAGCCGAAAGGUUUGCUAAUACCGGAUAAGUUCAUGGAUAUGCCUAUAUACAUGAAGAAAGGGGAAACCCGCUAUGAGAUGAGCCCGCGCCCCAUUAGCUAGUUGGUAGGGUAAAGGCCUACCAAGGCGACGAUGGGUAGCCGGCCUGAGAGGGUGGACGGCCACACUGGGACUGAGACACGGCCCAGACUCCUACGGGGGGCAGCAGUAGGGAAUUUUCGGCAAUGGGCGGAAGCCUGACCGAGCGACGCCGCGUGAGGGACGAAGGCCUUCGGGUUGUAAACCUCUGUCUGGGGGACGAGGAUGGACGGUACCCCCGGAGGAAGCCCCGGCUAACUACGUGCCAGCAGCCGCGGUAAACGUAGCGUG
RNAcentral lists this ribosomal RNA (498 nucleotides) under uncultured bacterium. RNAcentral's name for it is "bacterial SSU rRNA". It matches the Rfam family "Bacterial small subunit ribosomal RNA", at positions 28 to 534 of the family's 1533-position model. The record is from RNAcentral.